Molecule: long non-coding RNA, 1759 nt
Filed under: Numida meleagris (helmeted guineafowl)
Lineage: Eukaryota; Metazoa; Chordata; Aves; Galliformes; Numididae
Description: lncRNA (ENSNMEG00000002355.1)
Source: RNAcentral
GCUGAGCCCGGACUCUUCCUUCUCCAAACGGAUUCUCCGUCCCGGCCGCGGGCUGGAUCGCCCCGGGUUGGGGUCGCGGUGCCGCGUGCUGCUGGAGCCCCCCGAAACCGAGGGGAACGGCGCCGGGGACGCGGUGGAAGGGACGGCGUGCGGCCGACGGUGCCCGGUGAGUCCCCAAAACGCAACGAAAGACCCCAAAAAUCCAACCGAGGGGCUCCAAAAACCAACCGACGUCCCCAAGGAUCGCCGAAACGCGACGGAAGAGCCCAAAAAUCCAACGGUGGAGCCCAAAAACCGAAGGAAAGGCCCCGAAAAUUCAACAGAGGAGCUCCAAAAUUCAAAGGGAGACCCCAAAACUCCAACUGACCUCAACCAAAACCCAACGCAGGACCCCAAAAAUUCAACAGAAGACCCCAAAAAAUCAGCAGGGAACCUCGCGUGCCCUGGAGAUGUCAAUGAGAACCGAGCUGAGGGCUACAGAGACCCCAAAAACCCAACAGAAGACCCCGAAAGCCCAAGAAAAGAACCCAAAAUCCCAAUGGAAGACCCCCAAAAUCCACAAAGAGAUCCCAAAACCCCAACAAAAGACCCCAAAAGUCCAACUGAUGUCAACCAAAACCCAACGGGUGACCCCAAAACCCCAAUCGACCUCAACCAAAACCCAAGAGAAGACCCCAGAACCCCAAUGGAUGUCAAUGAAACCCAAGAGGAAGACCCCAAAAACCCAAGGAGAGACCCCAGAAGGCAAUCAGAAGACCUCAAAAUCCCAACGAAAUGCCCCAAAACCCCAAUGGACCUCGACCAAAAUCCAACGGAAGAACCCGAAACCCCAAGAGUAGACCCCAAAAACCCAGCAGGAGACCCCAAAACCCCAAGAACAGACCCCAACAGUCGAAUGGAAGACCUCAAAAUCCCAACGAAAUGCCCCCAAACCCCAACUGACCUCAACCAAAACCCAACGGAAGACCCCAAAACCCAAAGGGGAGACCCCAAAACCCCAACCGACCUCAACCAAAACCCAACGGAAGACCCCAAGAACGCAACCGACGUCAAUCAAAACCCGACACAAGACCCCAAAAACCCAAAAGAAGACCCCAAAAACCCAACAGAUGUCAAUCAGAACCCAGAAGACCCCCAAAUCCCAACAAAAUGCCCCAAAACCCCAAUGGACCUCGACCAAAACCCAACGGAAGACCCCAAAACCCAAAGGGGAGACCCCAAAACGCCAACCGACCUCAACCAAAACCCAAUGGAAGACCCCAAAGCCCCUACUGACCUCAACCAGAACCCAAUGGGUGACCCCAAAACCCAAAGGAGUGACCCCAAAACCCCAACCGACCUCAACCAGAACCCAACAGAAGACCCCAAAACCCCAACAAAUGACCGCAAAAUCCCAAUGAAUGACCCCAAAACUCAACGGAGAGCCCGAAGAACGCAACAAAUGACCACAAGACUCCAACAAAUGAUCUCACAGACACAAGAAAGACCCCAAAAUCCCAAUGAAGGACCCCAAAAUCCCAAUGUCCCCCUCCCCCGUCCCCCCCAACCUGCACGGCCUUGACGAUGGCGACGACGCCGGUGGGCCAGAAGCAGCAGAGGGUGGUGAGCACGGCGAUGGGCAAGUAAUCAUGCGGGGGGGCACCGGGGGGAGGAGCGGGGAGCACCGGGCCGGGGCUGUACACCUACAGGUGGGCGGGGCUUUGGGUGGCUCCGCCCCCUCCAUAAGCUCCGCCUCCCCCACAUUCAUAAGCUCUCAUUC